GACGAACGCUGGCGGCGUGCUUAACACAUGCAAGUCGAACGGAAAGGCCCUGCUUGCCGGGUACUCGAGUGGCGAACGGGUGAGUAGCACGUGGGUGAUCUGCCCUGCACUUCGGGAUAAGCCUGGGAAACUGGGUCUAAUACCGGAUAGGAGCCAUUUUUAGUGUGAUGGUUGGAAAGUUUUUUUCGGUGUAGGAUGAGCUCGCGGCCUAUCAGCUUGUUGGUGGGGUAAUGGCCUACCAAGGCGGCGACGGGUAGCCGGCCUGAGAGGGUGGACGGCCACAUUGGGACUGAGAUACGGCCCAGACUCCUACGGGAGGCAGCAGUGGGGAAUAUUGCACAAUGGGCGCAAGCCUGAUGCAGCGACGCCGCGUGGGGGAUGACGGCCUUCGGGUUGUAAACUCCUUUCGCUAGGGACGAAGCUUUUUGUGACGGUACCUAGAUAAGAAGCACCGGCUAACUACGUG
This 466-nucleotide ribosomal RNA is filed under the name uncultured bacterium. RNAcentral describes it as "partial 16S ribosomal RNA". It matches the Rfam family "Bacterial small subunit ribosomal RNA", at positions 28 to 507 of the family's 1533-position model. The record is from RNAcentral.